RNAcentral lists this ribosomal RNA (1539 nucleotides) under uncultured prokaryote. RNAcentral describes it as "partial 16S ribosomal RNA". It matches the Rfam family "Bacterial small subunit ribosomal RNA". The record is from RNAcentral.
AGAGUUUGAUCCUGCUCAGAUUGAAACGCUGGCGGCAGGCCUAACACAUGCAAGUCGAGCGGAAACAGAAAGUAGCUUGCUACUUUGCUGUCGAGCGGCGGACGGGUGAGUAAUGCCUAGGUAUCUGCAGUAGUGGGGGAUAGCCCAGAGAAAUUUGGAUUAAUACCGCAUACACCCUACGGGGAAAAGGAGGCCUCUUCUUGAAAGCUUCCGCUAUUAGAUGAGCCUGCGUCGGAUUAUCUAGUUGGUGAGGUAAUGGCUCACCAAGGCUCCGAUCCGUAGCUGGUCUGAGAGGAUGAUCAGCCACACUGGGACUGAGACACGGCCCAGACUCCUACGGGAGGCAGCAGUGGGGAAUAUUGCACAAUGGGCGCAAGCCUGAUGCAGCCAUACCGCGUGUGUGAAGAAGGCCUUAGGGUUGUAAAGCACUUUCAGUGGGGAGGAAAGGUUAGUCGUUAAUAUCGGUUAUCUGUGACGUUACCCACAGAAGAAGCACCGGCUAACUCCGUGCCAGCAGCCGCGGUAAUACGGAGGGUGCAAGCGUUAAUCGGAAUUACUGGGCGUAAAGCGCGCGUAGGUGGUUAGUUAAGCUGGAUGUGAAAGCCCCGGGCUCAACCUUGGAACUGCAUUUGAAACUGGUUAACUAGAGUUUUGUAGAGGGUGGUAGAAUUUCAGGUGUAGCGGUGAAAUGCGUAGAGAUCUGAAGGAAUACCAGUGGCGAAGGCGGCCACCUGGACAAAGACUGACACUGAGGCGCGAAGGCGUGGGGAGCAAACGGGAUUAGAUACCCUGGUAGUCCCCACGCCGUAAACGAUGUCAACUAGCCGACUGGCGCCUUGAGCGCUGGGUGGCGCAGCUAACGCAUUAAGUUGACCGCCUGGGGAGUACGGCCGCAAGGUUAAAACUCAAAUGAAUUGACGGGGGCCCGCACAAGCGGUGGAGCAUGUGGUUUAAUUCGAUCAAAACGCGAAGAACCUUACCUACUCUUGACAUCCACAGAACUUCGCAGAGAUGCUUAGGUGCCUUCGGGAACUGUGAGACAGGUGCUGCAUGGCUGUCGUCAGCUCGUGUUGUGAAAUGUUGGGUUAAGUCCCGCAACGAGCGCAACCCCUAUCCUUAGUUGCCAGCACGUAACGGUGGGAACUCUAGGGAGACUGCCGGUGAUAAGCCGGAGGAAGGUGGGGACGACGUCAAGUCAUCAUGACCCUUACGGGAUGGGCUACACACGUGCUACAAUGGCAAGUACAGAGGGCAGCAAUACCGCGAGGUGGAGCGAAUCCCACAAAGCUUGUCGUAGUCCGGAUUGGAGUCUGCAACUCGACUCCGUGAAGUCGGAAUCGCUAGUAAUCGUGGAUCAGAAUGCCACGGUGAAUACGUUCCCGGGCCUUGUACACACCGCCCGUCACACCAUGGGAGUGGGUUGCAAAAGAAGUGGCUAGUCUAACCUUCGGGAGGACGGUCACCACUUUGUGAUUCAUGACUGGGGUGAAGUCGUAACAAGGUAACCCUAGGGGAACCUGGGGUUGGAUCACCUCCUUA